UGGUUCAGGAUUAACGCUGCGGCGUGCCUGACACAUGCAAGUCGAACGAGGCCGCAAGGCCUAGUGGCGGACGGGUGAGUAACACGUGACCAACCAACCCCGAAGUUGGGAAUAGCUCUGCGAAAGUAGAGGUAAUACCGAAUGUGGUCCAGGGCGGACAUCCGCUCUGGUCUAAAGAUUUAUCGCUUCGGGACGGGGUCGCGGCCUAUUAGCUUGUUGGUGGGGUAACGGCCCACCAAGGCGAUGAUGGGUAGCUGGUCUGAGGGGACGACCAGCCACACUGGGACUGAGACACGGCCCAGACUCCUACGGGAGGCAGCAGUGAGGAAUCUUCCGCAAUGGGCGAAAGCCUGACGGAGCAACGCCGCGUGUGGGAUGAAGACCUUAGGGUUGUAAACCACUGUCGGAGGGGACGAUCGUGACGGUACCCUCCAAGAAAGCCCCGGCUAACUACGUGCCAGCAGCCGCGGUAAUACUAGGGGGCGAGCGUUAUCCGGAUUUACUGGGCGUAAGCGCGUUAAGGCGGAUGGCCAUUGGCGGUGAAUUCGGGGCUCACCCCGAAACUGCC
RNAcentral lists this ribosomal RNA (568 nucleotides) under uncultured bacterium. RNAcentral's name for it is "bacterial SSU rRNA". It matches the Rfam family "Bacterial small subunit ribosomal RNA", at positions 20 to 625 of the family's 1533-position model. The record is from RNAcentral.